GGGGAAUUUUCCGCAAUGGGCGAAAGCCUGACGGAGCAAGACCGCGUGCGGGAGGACGGCCUGUGGGUUGUAAACCGCUUUUCUCAGGGAAGAAGAUCUGACGGUACCUGAGGAAUCAGCAUCGGCUAACUCCGUGCCAGCAGCCGCGGUAAUACGGAGGAUGCAAGCGUUAUCCGGAUUUAUUGGGCGUAAAGCGUCCGCAGGCGGCUAAUCAAGUCUGCUGUUAAAGGCCGAGGCUUAACUUCGGUUGAGCAGUGGAAACUGAUUAGCUAGAGUGCGAUAGGGGUAGAGGGAAUUCCCAGUGUAGCGGUGAAAUGCGUAGAUAUUGGGAAGAACACCAGUGGCGAAGGCGCUCUACUGGGUCGCAACUGACGCUGAGGGACGAAAGCUAGGGGAGCGGGAAGG
Molecule: ribosomal RNA, 405 nt
Filed under: uncultured cyanobacterium
Lineage: Bacteria; Bacillati; Cyanobacteriota
Description: bacterial SSU rRNA
Rfam family: Bacterial small subunit ribosomal RNA
Source: RNAcentral